Long non-coding RNA from Mya arenaria, 2121 nucleotides. RefSeq lists it as uncharacterized. The transcript is spliced from 4 exons. The record is from RefSeq and is a predicted model, not a curated record. NCBI's taxonomy places the organism in Eukaryota, Metazoa, Mollusca, Bivalvia, Myida, Myidae.
CCGGCGCAUAUAUUGAUUGUUUUAGAAGCGUCCCUGGUGCAAUGGGCUUGCGCAUGCGGCGUUUUCAUUUUUUUGUUCGCGCAUGCGCCGUUUCUUACCGUCCGCUCUCGGAUAAUUCCGAAGCAGUUCGCCAUUAGACUGGUUCCUGUUCGAUUUUGCAAUAGAAGAUUGGUAAUCUUCUAAUAUGUGAAGCUUUGAAAAUAUAAGGCAAAUUAAAACCAGAGAUUUUUUUAAAUAACUCUUUUAGAGAAAAAAUAUCAUAAAUGCACAGUUGUUGAGAAAACUUCUCUUUUUUAUUUAAAUAUUUUUACAUAAAAGAAUAAACCACGAAUGCGCAGAAUGUAUCUUACAAUAAUCUUAGAAAAUCGGUGAACUAGUCUAUUAUCUGAUUACUCGGUUAUGACACGUACGGGUCAGAUGCAAGCGUCCAGUAGACUAGGGAUAUCAAGGUCAACACGCUGGCGGUUGGGGAAAGACAUAGGCGAGUGUGCGGUCAAGGUCAAAAUUGCGAGAGGGUGAUUCGAAGUGAAAUACCGCAACCAAAACGUUUUAUUUGGACAUUAACGCGUCUAUCUGAAUGAGUCACAAUGAUAGAUGAAAACUGCAAAAAAUGGCCACCAACAAUAAUGGGCCAGGACUGAGGAGUUCCAAGAAAUGAGUAUUCUUCAGCCUACAAAUAUCAGUGCUGCCCCGCUGCCCAAAACCAGAGCAACAAGCAACUUGUGGCAACAAGUAAAUGGACCUUGACAAAUGUCCUCUAUGUUAGAGCCAGUCCCUCACACAAGUGGCCUACUUUUGCACAGCUGAGGUUGUUAUCAAACGCAGCAGUAGGUAUGAAAUGCGGAAACUGUUCCAACUUGAUCUUCAAUAGUUGAGUUACUCCUCAUCACAAUACCUGAACUGAAAACAAUCGGUGACGUUCCUGCACUUCACUUCUACCUCACAGUGCUUUUCCCUAUAAACACUAGAGGAAAGUUUGAAAAUGAAAAACUUGUCAUUGCAAGUGUGAAAGGACCAAAUUUAUUCUUAACGAAACAACCUGCCUCAAUGCUUUAGCUGACACUACAUCAAGUCAACACAAGGCAAUUUGUUUUUCUCGCAACCUGAGCGGUAUGUUGAAUCUGAUCAAAAUUGUACACAACCACUGGUCAAGAAUAUAGAAAUACAAGUUGUAUGAUCAGUAACCUAAAAUAUUCUUGAAUAUUUGAACAUAAUAAAAGAGUAUUUGUUAAAGUUAUACAUAUUGUGUGUAGUGUAGGUAAGAUCAAUGUCAAGGUUAUUUUGGCUAAAAAAAAAGAAAAAUGAGUCUUGAUUCAUAAUAUCGAUGAAAUAGCAAGCCUUAAGUAUUUUCGAUAAAGUGAUACAUGUAUUUUGUGGUGAUGUCAUAACCUUGUUUCACUGUUUUUGAAGAGAAAACACAUGUUAUAAAUAUAUUAUCACAUUUGUGUUUUUUUAGCUCGACUAUCUUAAGAAUAAGGUGGACUAUUCGCUCUGGUGUCGGUGUCCGGUUCAAGUUUUAGGGCAAGUUGGGAUUUUCACUUAUAAGUCCAAUACUCUUCAUUCAAUUGACUUAAUACCUCACACAGUUGUUCAAGGCCAUCAUAUAAUGGGAAUAGAUAACUCCUUUAUACAAGUUAUGGCCCCUGAUUGACUAUCAAACUUAGGUUAAAGUUUUAGGGCAGGUUGGGAUAUUUAUUAAUAACUUCUCUAUCAUUCGUUCAUUUAACUUAAUGCUUGACACAUUUGUUCAGGACCAUCACACAAUGAGGUUACAUAACUCUGUAUUAUCCUUAAUACAAGUUAUAGCCCCUGAUUGACUUAGGUUAAAGGUUUAGGGCAGGUUAAAGUUAUAGAACAAGUUGGGAUUUCCACUAAUAAGUCCAAUACCCUUCAUUCAAUUGACUUAAUACUUUACACAGUUGUUCAGUGCCAUCACAUAAUUAGGUAAGAUAACUCCAUAUCAUAUUUUAUACACAUAAUGGCCCCUGAUUGACUAUGGAACUUAGGUUAAAAUUUAAGAGCAGGUUGAUAUAUUUAUUGAUAACUUCUAUACCCUUCAUUCAUAUAAUCCUUAAUACAAGUUAUGGCCCCUGAUUGACUUAGGUUAAAGUUUUAGGGCAA